AUCCUUCCCGAUUCCAUAGCCUCCCAACCAUAGUCGGUUGCGCCUCCGCAGAAAAGGAAUCGGUGGUGGAGAGGAUAGGUUGAACCCCGCAGAUCCUAGGCGUCGCUGCCGAAGAGAAAAGCAGCCCCAACAUGCCGAAGGGCACAUCGGCGCAGCGAGCGCGCACGCGACUGCAAGUCCGCCCCCCGCCACCAAUCCCCUAUCUUCUCUGCUUCGAGGCGCACGCUGCCCUCACCGGCGCUGCCGCUGGAUCAUGGAUGGCGGGGCAAAAGGGCAAGACCUACGACUGAUUUUGCGGCGCAUCAGCAGCAGGCAAUGGCGGGCCUGUACGUGCUAGUGGAUCUACAUAAGGUGUCGGCGCAGGGCUGGCACUGCGGCCAGGUGACGUCGCUACCGCCGUCGAGCACCAUGCAUAGCUGCCGCACGAGCUGGCCCACGCCGACGCGCGAGAAGUACUCGCCACUGCCCUGCCCGACGCCGGACACCACGGCCCCUGUAUCUCUGUUGCCGACGCCUCAAAGACCAUCAUGGUGUUGGUCAGCUUCAGGUCGGCGCGGGAGAUCGCGUCGGCGGCCCGGGGAGUCGCGGCGUAGGCGGGCGAGCACGUGGGACCAGUAGCUCUGGUGCCGGCCCUGCUGCUCCCGGAGGAAGGCCCUGGAGUCGGGCCGCAGGGUGAGCCCACUCUGGUGAAGGAUUGGAUCGCUGGAGAACUCUGUUCUUCAAUCGCGUUCUGGUGAAGGAGUCGAUCGCCGGUGAACGAUGUGCGUAAUCUUGUACGUAGUAAUUCUGUUUGCUUUUCUCCUGCUAUCUUCCCCAUGUCGCUAACCGGAAUUAGGAACAUCAGAUUGCUUUCAACUUGAUCAACCUCUGCCCUUUUUUUCGUGGAAGAAACAGCCGGUGAGGACAACCUGCUCUCCUUUUCAAUCUGGUGCGUAAGUCUGAAGUUUCCCUUUCUCAUGCCAUGUUCCUAUGAAUAGCUCACUAGAACUGACAGAAUUUUGAUCAUAAGACUGCCUUCAACUUGAUCAAGCUUUCCCUUUUAUAAAAAGAAGAAUCAGCCGGGGUUCUAUUUUGUCUAUUGAGAUGGAAGAAGAGGCUAACACAUCGUACCAUCGUACCAUGCCAACAUGAGCUACCAAGCUUUCCCUUUCACAUUUACUUUUCUCUCAUCCUAAAAUAUGGCACUUGCACAAGUUUUUUGUGCUCAUGAUUACUUUUCAAUUGCAGAGCUAUAUUGUCCAGCUUGGUACCUCAUGUUGGCAUGAAAUUUAAAAAUUCGGAUGAAGCUUGGGCAUUUUGGCUUAGCUGUGGUGGUCAAAAGGGCUUUGAGGUCCGAAAAAGGUAUACGAACAAAAGGUCCGCAGAUGGCAAGCUAAUCCUCCUGCAGCGGUGCGACAACGACGGCGUGGCGCAGCGACCACCACCAUGGAGAUGGGUGUGCAGGUCAUCGACGUGCGGUUGCUGCGCACGUAUGCCGAGGUGUUCAUCACGGGCGACGACUCGAGGAGGCCGACGAACAGGACGCCCUUGGACCGGCAUGGCGGGGGGAGGCCAUGUAGCACGCGUUGCUCUGGUUGCCCUGUAUCCUGGAUGCCGCCGACCACAGGGGCACCGGCUGCACGUGUUUCCCGGCCGCCUCCGACCAGUGGGGCUCUCGCGAUGUGUUACUUUGUAUCCCGGCCACCGCGGACAGCGAGGGCUCCCUCUACACGUGUUGCUUUGUUUCCCGGCCGCCGCUGACCACUCGGGCUCCGGCUUCAUUUGUUGCUCUGCGUCCAUUGCUCCUUUGGCGACGGUGAGGACGUGCCGAGAGCUCAUUCUACCAUGACGAAGAACUGGAUUUUUAAAUUUGAGAGGGAGAACGGGAAUUCUAGGGGAACGAGGAGAUUAUUGAAAUUAGGAGGUCAUCAUAGUUUGGAUAUUUUUAUUGUUUUUCUUUUCAGUUUCAUACUACUAUUGGAUUUUGUUGUUUCUCACUAAGAGCUAUUUGACUUAUAAUCCCAAUGUUUUGUUGUUA
Molecule: long non-coding RNA, 2017 nt
Organism: Triticum aestivum (bread wheat)
Lineage: Eukaryota; Viridiplantae; Streptophyta; Magnoliopsida; Poales; Poaceae
Exons: 2
Source: RefSeq, a predicted model, not a curated record